GACGAACGCUGGCGGCGUGCUUAACACAUGCAAGUCGAGCGGAAAGGCCCUUCGGGGUACUCGAGCGGCGAACGGGUGAGUAACACGUGAGUAACCUGCCCUGGACUUUGGGAUAACCCUCGGAAACGGGGGCUAAUACCGGAUAUGACCUGUCACUGCAUGGUGGUGGGUGGAAAGUUUUUCGGUCUGGGAUGGGCUCGCGGCCUAUCAGCUUGUUGGUGGGGUGAUGGCCUACCAAGGCGACGACGGGUAGCCGGCCUGAGAGGGCGACCGGCCACACUGGGACUGAGACACGGCCCAGACUCCUACGGGAGGCAGCAGUGGGGAAUAUUGCACAAUGGGCGGAANCCUGAUGCAGCGACGCCGCGUGAGGGAUGACGGCC
RNAcentral lists this ribosomal RNA (383 nucleotides) under uncultured bacterium. Its description in RNAcentral is "bacterial SSU rRNA". It matches the Rfam family "Bacterial small subunit ribosomal RNA", at positions 28 to 416 of the family's 1533-position model. The record is from RNAcentral.